GCUCAGGAUGAACGCUGGCGGCGUGCUUAACACAUGCAAGUCGAACGGUGAAGCCAAGCUUGCUUGGUGGAUCAGUGGCGAACGGGUGAGUAACACGUGAGCAACCUGCCCUGGACUCUGGGAUAAGCGCUGGAAACGGCGUCUAAUACUGGAUAUGAGCCCCUAUCGCAUGGUGGGGGUUGGAAAGAUUUUUUGGUCUGGGAUGGGCUCGCGGCCUAUCAGCUUGUUGGUGAGGUAAUGGCUCACCAAGGCGUCGACGGGUAGCCGGCCUGAGAGGGUGACCGGCCACACUGGGACUGAGACACGGCCCAGACUCCUACGGGAGGCAGCAGUGGGGAAUAUUGCACAAUGGGCGAAAGCCUGAUGCAGCAACGCCGCGUGAGGGAUGACGGCCUUCGGGUUGUAAACCUCUUUAGCAGGGAAGAAGGAAACGAAAGUGACGGUACCUGCAGAAAAAGCGCCGGCUAACUACGUGCCAGC
This 480-nucleotide ribosomal RNA is filed under the name Microbacterium sp. RNAcentral's name for it is "bacterial SSU rRNA". It matches the Rfam family "Bacterial small subunit ribosomal RNA", at positions 22 to 512 of the family's 1533-position model. The record is from RNAcentral. Lineage: Bacteria; Bacillati; Actinomycetota; Actinomycetes; Micrococcales; Microbacteriaceae.